RNAcentral lists this ribosomal RNA (403 nucleotides) under bacterium. Its description in RNAcentral is "partial 16S ribosomal RNA". It matches the Rfam family "Bacterial small subunit ribosomal RNA", at positions 355 to 776 of the family's 1533-position model. The record is from RNAcentral.
UGGGGAAUAUUGCACAAUGGGGGAAACCCUGAUGCAGCGACGCCGCGUGAACGAAGAAGGUAUUCGUAUCGUAAAGUUCUGUCCUAUGGGAAGAUAAUGACAGUACCAUAGAAGAAAGCUCCGGCUAAAUACGUGCCAGCAGCCGCGGUAAUACGUAUGGAGCGAGCGUUGUCCGGAAUUAUUGGGCGUAAAGGGUACGCCGGCGGUUUAAUAAGUCGAAUGUUAAAGAUCGGGGCUCAACCCCGCAAAGCAUUGGAAACUGAUAAACUUGAGUAGUGGAGAGGAAAGUGGAAUUCCUAGUGUAGUGGUGAAAUACGUAGAUAUUAGGAGGAAUACCAGUAGCGAAGGCGACUUUCUGGACACAAACUGACGCUGAGGUACGAAAGCGUGGGGAGCAAACAGG